Molecule: long non-coding RNA, 3121 nt
Organism: Perognathus longimembris pacificus (Pacific pocket mouse)
Lineage: Eukaryota; Metazoa; Chordata; Mammalia; Rodentia; Heteromyidae
Exons: 2
Source: RefSeq, a predicted model, not a curated record
GCUCAAGUGGUAAGGCAGUAGCCUUUAGCAAAAGAAGCUCAGGGACAGUGCGUAGGCCAAGAGUUCAAGCUCCACGACCAGCAAAAAUUAAUUAGUUAAUUUUUAAAAGAUACAGGUCUGGGCAGCUCGCCAAGAACUGUUAACAGCUUUGCUUUAAUAAUUUGCUUUCUAAAUGGAUUGGGGAGAAAAUAAUUUCUUUUCUCAGUGAGAAUUUCUUUUACCCUCAGUGGUGGAAACAAGUAGUACUUUCAUUAGAAGUUGAGCACAGUUGGUACAGUAUGGUAGACUCUUUGCAAGGCUCAGGCCUGUGCAACUGUUUUGGAGGGAACUGUCCUGGAGUAUGAUUCAGAAUACUUGGGGAACCUUCUCUGAAAUGCAUUGAAACACAUAAAAAUAGGAAUAAUAUCUGACUAACCAUAGCCUAAUUUAUAGGGGUGCAGUGUGGGUGAAUGGGGGCUGGGGAAGAAAUGAUCAGGAUUAAAAGGCUUAUGGGCACAUCUUUAUUAGUAAGUAUUUUUUAUAAGAACAAAAACAUUGCACCAAGAAAGCCAAGCUUAAUCUUUUCUCAUUAUUACUGAGUGGUCAGUACUUAACUUUGUUUUUUGGGUAAGUUAAGAAGUAGUGGCAAACAAAUCAGUGCCACUGCCCCAUCAAAAAGAAUGCCCUGUUUUUCCAGUGUGCUAUCUGUCUUGUCAGUUUUCUUAGCUAAUUUUCAUCACAUCUCAGGGUUCCAGGUCUAGAAUUUAUUUGUGAAAAUGGAAUUGGGAACUGCUAGAAGGUGAUAUAAGUCAUCUAGCUUAUUUUGGAUUUAAUGGUGUUGGUGAGAUAUUUCAACUGAAUUUAAGCUGAGAACUAGAAAUAAUUCCAUAACAGAAAAAAUAAACACUGCAUUACGGCUUUCUUACUCACACCAAAGACACUUCAUCAAAUACCCAUUAUUUUUUAGGCUUUAAUAUUUCAAUUGUACAUAUGCACCAUUAGGGGUAGAUCGUAAGAAAUGUUUGCUUUAACGAGAAGGAAAUGCUACAACAAUGUGCAGUAACACCUUUCCCACCUUCCUAGAAUUCAGUAGUGGCAAGUUUGCAACUGGAGGAAGUGUGGUCUUCCAGUGGAAAAAUGAGCUAUGAGAUAAUAAAGGUAGCAUUUGAUUCCUAUCUACUGAGGAGUAAGUGUGAGAUCAUGUAGUUCUGAAGACAAAGCAUGUAACCACAUUCACACACACACACACAAAUUGCUGUAAAGUCAUAGUAUAUUUGCAAAAGCCAUUAUUAUUUUGGGACAUGACAUAGUGUAUACAAACUAAAGAAAUAAAAUAUGAUGAAAUAUACCAAUACCUCCUUCCAUCACACAUGAAUCAUGCACUUUUGGUGUACUUUUCCCCUGGGAUUUUUAAGAACAAGAUAGUGUUGUUUUCAUCCUAAUGAAAACCAAAUGAUUCAACUAGUCACACACAUCAAGAUAACAAACAAGUAAUGUCUAAGAAGAAUGUUUUCAUUUUCAAUCUCACUUUCCCUUUCAGUACAAUAUGUCACUGGGUGUUACAGAAUUCCAAUCUGUAAGUUUAAUGCUUGGCACUUUGUGUUUCUCUCACUCUCUCUUUUUAUUAUUCUCAACUUUCACAAUUGUGCCCACUAACCAAAGCAUCAACUAUUUAUAUAGUUUUGUAAUGUUAUAAUUAUAUAUUUUUCUGAAUAGACAAAUUAAUAAAAUUUGGUCAAUAAGAGAUCCAAAUGAGAUUUGUAUUUGAUCACUGAAGACUUUGAUUUUGCAAAAAUAUUUGGUAUGUUGCAUAUAGUUAUUAUACCUAUGUAACCACUGCUCCUUACAAGUAUUGCUGUAGUUUUUUCAAUACAUCGAUAUCUCCUUGUUUUGAAUCUGCAGGUAAUGCUGAAUGAAGCAAUAUAGAGCAAUUCUCAGGUUUGUCUGGCUUUUGUGGGGGUGGAAUGAGAGAAGUUUAUCAAAAAUUCUGUCCUACAAAUUGAUAUUCUAAAGCCCUCUGAAGUUUUAUUUCCUCAUAAGUAGGGACAAGAACUUUCUUUUUCAUCUUUCAAAGUUGGCUGUGGGUUUCAGGGAACUUACAAUUUUGUAGUGGAUAAUAUUACAGUAUAGGCAACUAUAGUUACCAUAUUGUCAUAGGAUUCUUACAUGUGAGAUGAAAUAUUUGUUUCAGAAUAUUUUAUCCGUUUCUAAUUGCAAGCUCUUUGUUUUACAUUACUUCUCAUUUCCUCUAGCUUAAACAUCAUUCAUGAACCAAGUCAAAAGCUACAGUGUUGCAAUUGAUAAAGGUCUUGGUUUUGAUCGCUUAUUUGUAGGGUUUAAUCAGGUUGCUUCAUUAUGUAUUAGUGAUUUUUUCUCCCUGGAUUACUACCAUUCUGCAAUCUUUCAAGUGAUGUAUUUUCAAAUAAUUUACUUUCCUGAGAUCGUAUCCUGCACUGUUACACCCCCCCCAAAAAAAACAAACAACUCAUACAUUCUGUAAUGAAUAUUUCAAUAGGGUAAGUUCAAAUGCAUUUAGAAGGCAAGAUUAUCAGUUGCUUGCUUGCAUUCCUCGUGUGCAUUAUUGGCUUUGUGUCACAAUGGGGUCAUGAAUGCAAGCUUUAAUAGCGUUAGUGCUGUAAAAUUACUCAGCCAAAACCUCCACAGGGAGGAACACAAAAGAUUAACUGGAAAAGAUGUGAAUCUUCUGUUUUUUGGGGAUGGAAACUGAGGAGACUUUGAUACAAAUCUCAUUUCUGAAGACUGAAAGUUUCUUCCAAAUGCUUUUUCUUAUUCAUAUUGAUUGUUGUCAGAAACGUAUUUACUGAAGCUCAAAAAAUAUUACAAAUGUAUGACAGUAAACAUUUCUUGCUUGACAUUUUAUUAGGCAAUGACAUCUAUAAAGAAAAUUGAGUGACUUGUGUUGCAGGAACCAUGUUUUCAGGAUUCUGAAGAUAAAUGCUUGAUGGUUGGCAGUAUGCAGAGUGUCCCAGAACUGGGACAUAGACUCAAAAUACUGCAUCAAAAAUAACUAUUAAUUAUGACACAUUUCAAACAGGUGAUUUCUGAUAUUAAUUUGUAGUUUAUUCUCAGAAAAGAUUUUGGUGUGAGAUUUGAUCAAUAAAAAUUCAAAUUUCAAGAUGUU